CAGGGCUGCCGUCCACAUGGGCUCGGAAAGAAGGUGGUGAGCCAGGAAUGCUGUGGAGCAAAUCGCUGCAUAUCAGCAGAACCUGGGCUUCAGGAUGCCUCUGUCCCUCUGUGAGAAGCAGAUGAGCAAAGCAAGGCUUAAAGAGCUAAGGAGACUGUGGGAAUGAAGGUUUCGAAGUGGUCUGAAUGGAGAAAGAAGCGGUGGGAGAGCUGAGUCAUCAUGCAGCACACGGCAAGGUAGCAGAAAACCCUGGAGAACAACAGCAGCCUGCCCCAGAGUCAGCCGUGAGCGCUGAUUUAGUUUCAGGAAAACAAUAACACUUUGUCCCAUUAAAUUAAUGUUGUUAAUUUGAAGUUUAUUGGUUUUGCAGUUUGCUUUUAUUUCAUUUAUAAAUUUGUUUUAGCUUUAUGGCUGUGAGAGAGCUCCCUGCAUAAGGAACGUGUACCUGGUUUUAUGUUUGUACAUAUUUAAGUAACAUUAUACUAAAUAUAACUCAAGUCAACAGAGAGCAAUCACA
This 517-nucleotide long non-coding RNA is filed under the name Homo sapiens (human). RNAcentral describes it as "HSALNT0329594". Lineage: Eukaryota; Metazoa; Chordata; Mammalia; Primates; Hominidae. The record is from RNAcentral.